Molecule: transfer RNA, 71 nt
Filed under: Porichthys myriaster (specklefin midshipman)
Lineage: Eukaryota; Metazoa; Chordata; Actinopteri; Batrachoidiformes; Batrachoididae
Description: tRNA-Lys
Rfam family: tRNA
About the family: Transfer RNA (tRNA) molecules are approximately 80 nucleotides in length. Their secondary structure includes four short double-helical elements and three loops (D, anti-codon, and T loops).
Source: RNAcentral
CACUAAGAAGCUGAAUCGGAUAGCAUUAGCCUUUUAAGCUAAGUAUGGUGACCACCAACCACCCUUAGUGG